Brassica napus (rape) is the source of this 125-nucleotide non-coding RNA. The record is from Rfam. NCBI's taxonomy places the organism in Eukaryota, Viridiplantae, Streptophyta, Magnoliopsida, Brassicales, Brassicaceae.
GAGAUAUAAGAACUCGUCUCUUAACUUUUAAGUAAAAAAACUAAGAACUAGUUCUUAAAUAAGGUAUUUAAGAGCCGGUUCUUAGUUUUUUUAAUUAAAAAUUAAGAGACGAGUUCUUAUAUUCC